GUGCUUGUGUGUUUGACCUCCUGCUUGCAAGCAAUAGUUAGAGCCAGAUAUCUGCGGAGAAUUACUCAUGUAAUCUUUUUCUCUUCUAAAUAAAUGUUAACUUUAAUUGAUCAACGUGCUGGAUCCUUCUCAUCAAUGGACUCGGGGGGAUCGGAGAUCCUGACACACAGAAUAAAGACGUUGACACUAAGCAAGUUCCUCUCAGCAGUUGACUCAAGGUAAAGUCCAAUUAGUACUGUUAUAGGUUUAACUUAACAUAGAUUUUUAACAUAGUUGUAAACGGAGAUGUUUACAAAAUUAGUUUAUUUCCCAUGUGCUAAAACAUGAGAUGGAUGUGUAAAAUAUGUACCUUUUUGAAUCAAUUUCAAACGGAUAGGAUAGGAUUAUUAAAACACUACAGGUUUAAACUGGUCCUCACACCGAUGGCCCUUGUUCGUUCAAAACAUUUAAUGCCCUCCGGACCCAUUUGUCUCGACAGCACGUGGCGUUGCCACAAAGAGAAGUUUUUGGGCAGUGGCUGGGACAGGACACCUCAUACCCCUAUGUCUGAGGCAUCCAGUGUCACGUGUAUUUAGGCGAUUUCCCGAUUCCCCAACUCGACUAGUACCGGCCCCUCGACUCCAGGCCCCGACCCUGCCAGUACCGGCCCCUCGACUCCAGGCCCCGACCCCACCAGUACCGGCCCCUCGACUCCUGACCCCCACUCGGUCGGUACCGCCCCCGAGACUCAUGACUCCCUCCCUUCCAUCCCGUGGCUGGCCGAUCCCAGACAGCCCUCAAAUCACCAUGAUUUGAGGGCUGUCUGGGAUCGGCCCUUGAGGGGUAGAGGGAGUUGGGGGGGAGCGGCGACUCCGGAGGUAUUCAGUUUCCCAGAGCCGGCGACGACUCCGGAGGUUUCCUGACAGUACUUGGAGAAGGGGUGCAAAGGUGAAUCUGGAUUUCAGGGUCUGGAAAACCCCUUCGGCUGCAGAAGUCCACAAGAAUGGGGUAUUGGAGGAGGUCAGCCUGCUGAACGUGGAAGCCACUGCACCUGAUGAACUUCUGAUAGAAAUGUUCAAACGAAAAGAAACAUUGAAGUUGUUUCCGGGAGUUUGGGACUGGCCAGGUGGUGACUGCAGCAACCUC
Gasterosteus aculeatus aculeatus (three-spined stickleback) is the source of this 1125-nucleotide long non-coding RNA. NCBI's taxonomy places the organism in Eukaryota, Metazoa, Chordata, Actinopteri, Perciformes, Gasterosteidae. The record is from Ensembl.